AGUCGAGAAUCUUUCGCAAUGGACGAAAGUCUGACGAAGCGACGCCGCGUGUGUGAUGAAGGCUCUAGGGUUGUAAAGCACUUUCGCUUAGGAAUAAGGGAUGUUGGCUAAUAUCCGACAAACUUGAGCGUACUAGGUAAAGAAGCACCGGCUAACUCCGUGCCAGCAGCUGCGGUAAUACGGAGGGUGCUAGCGUUAAUCGGAUUUAUUGGGCGUAAAGGGCGUGUAGGCGGAAAGGUAAGUUAGAUGUUAAAUCUUGAGGCUCAACCUCAAGACCGCAUUUAAUACUAUUUUUCUAGAGGAUAGAUGGAGAAAAGGGAAUUCCACGUGUAGCGGUGAAAUGCGUAGAUAUGUGGAAGAACACCAGUGGCGAAGGCGCUUUUCUAAUUUAUUCCUGACGCUGAGGCGCGAAAGCAAGGGGAGCAAA
This 427-nucleotide ribosomal RNA is filed under the name Chlamydia caviae. RNAcentral's name for it is "bacterial SSU rRNA". It matches the Rfam family "Bacterial small subunit ribosomal RNA", at positions 353 to 772 of the family's 1533-position model. Lineage: Bacteria; Pseudomonadati; Chlamydiota; Chlamydiia; Chlamydiales; Chlamydiaceae. The record is from RNAcentral.